This 2474-nucleotide long non-coding RNA is filed under the name Marmota monax (woodchuck). Lineage: Eukaryota; Metazoa; Chordata; Mammalia; Rodentia; Sciuridae. The record is from RNAcentral.
GUGAUUCUUGCCUCUCAGCAUUCACACCUCUAUGUAAUCACCCUCUGGACUGCAUAGAGCUAGUGUGAUAUCGUAGAAAUGGUUUGGUGUAAUUUUCUAAGAUUAGGCCAUUAAAGACCCUGGGGUUUCUACCUUGCUCUUGGCUGUCUAGGAUCACUUGUUUUGGGAGAGUCACCUGCCAAGCCAUAAGGAUGCUUGCUUAGCCUCAUGGUGAAAUCAACAUGGCUCAGAACUGGAUCCUCCCAGUAACAACCAAUGCCAAUGUGCCAGGCAUGGAAUUAGCCACCUUGGAAGUAGAUCUUCAGCCUCUGCCAAGUCUUCAAAUGACUGCAGCCCCAGAUGAUGUCAUGACUGCCACAUCAUAAGAGAUUCUGAGCCAGAACCACCUGGGUAAGCUGGUUCUGAUUUCCUGACCCCCAGAAACUAUGGGAUAGUUAUUUUUUUUUAUAUUAAGCCACUAUAUUUUAGGGUAACUUAUUAUGCAGCAAUAGCUGAAUAAUACUCUAUCCUGAUAUGUUAUUGUCCUUCUGCUUUCUUUGUCUGCUCCUCCAACAUCAGAUGAUUGAGAAGGCAGGGUCUAGGGGCAGUGUCAUUGGGAAGGAAGAGGGAUGCUGAGGGCUAUAGACAGAGUCAUCAAUUUGUACAUGAAUGGCAUAAUGGUGUUCCCCGUGGUAAGACUGAUUGGUGGAUGCAUGGAUGGAUGGAUGGAUUUUGGGGUACUGGGGAUUGAACUCAGGGGUACUCAACCACUGAGCCACAUCCCCAGCCCUAUUUUGUAUGUUAUUUAGAGGAAGAAUGUCACUGAGUUGCUUAGCACCUUGCUUUUGCUGAGGCUGGCUUUGAACUGGUGAUCCUCCUGUCUCAGCCUCCCCAGCUACAGGGAUUAUGGGUGUGUGCCACCACAUCCAGCUAUUUAUUUAUUUUUAAUUAAUUAUUAUUUUUUGGUGAGUAAGAAGCAUGGAAUAGCUGCUAGAGUGAUUGAAAGGCAAUGCAAAAACCAAAACCCAGGACAGAAUGAAUGUAUGGUGAUAUAUAGUGAUCUGACCUUUGGGGCUCUUGUCUUUAUCAAUUCUCUGUGGCCUAGGGGCAGAAAUGAUGAAACCAGCCAGCAUUUGAGGAAAAAUUCACCAAUGGGCAGGGCACUGGCAGGGAGGAUUGAUGUUCCUCAUAGCAACACUUGUAUAAUUUCUUCUAUGUGAACAUUGGCUAGUGAUUUAUAUUACAAAAUUGCCAAUAUUUGACCACUUUGACCUACCAAAAAAAGUCAGUUUCAUACAGUUCAACUGAAGUUAGUUCUGUAAGGGUAAAUCCACAUCUUCCUUGUGGAGGUUGGGAUGGCUGAGAUCAUGGAUGGGAAGAAGCAGGUCUAUCAAAAAAAUACAUUGUGAGGAAAAAAAAAUGAAAAAAAACUCUUAGGGUGAAAGGGGAUUUCUUUUGAAUGCCCUCUAUUUUCCCUGUGCCUGGAACAAAGUAAACUUCUUAAAAUCUGCAAUUGUAGUUGUUUUUCUUUUUCUUUUUGUAGUUCCAGAAAUUUUAGCUAUAAAUAACAGAAACUUGACACCUAACUAAAACUGAUAGGAAAAUGUAUUCAUUCACUUAUCAAAGAGAAGGGAGAUAGGUUCCAAGUUAGUAGUUUAGAGUUUGAACAGUAAUAUUGAAACCUAGAUCCUAUUUUUUUUUUACUCUGCUUCUUAGUGCUGUUUUGUUUAUUUUCUUUUUUCAUGGAAACAGUUGGGCUUCAUGCUUUCUUCUUUGUGUCCCACAGCAGAAAAGGUGAUUUCCUGUGAAUUUCUCUUAAGGAUAAAAAAGUAUCCUAGAAGCUUUUAGCAAACCUCUUCUCAUUUUACAGAACUGAGUUACAUACCCAUUGUAAGUCAAAUUUCCACUGCUGUGACCAAAAUACUGUACCAGAACAACUUAAAGGAGGAAAAGUUUAUUUGGGGCUCACUGUUCCAGAGUUCUCAGUCCAUAGACGCCAACUCCAUUGCUGUGGGCCCGAGGUGAGCCAGCACAUCAUGACAGAAGGGAGUGGUAGAGGGAAGCUACUCAGGACCUGACAGCGGGAAGCAGAGAGGUGGGGAAGGGACCACAGGGAAAAUGAAUAAUGGCUCUCACAGCCCAAUCAUUUCACUUCUAAAUAUUCCUUCAUUAACCCAGGAGCUUUGGGGGGAUGCCUUUUAUCCAAACGAGAGCGCCUGUUCUUUAACAGGGCACUAUGAAGGAGAUGGAAUCAUACUUAUACUCUUCAGAACCAUCCCUGGAGCAAAAGGUCAAUUUUCCGAAUACAUUUGGGUAACAGGCAGAUGGAGGAGUCACACAGUGUCUGUUUUGAUCUACACCUGCCUGUGUGCCUUUCACAGUGCACACAAUUCCGUUUCCUGUGUGUCCUUCCAAAGAUAUACAUUUUACUUAUCUGUUUUUAGUGCUCCACUAGCAUUAAAGUCUUUUUUAUGAUUGUUAUUUUUGGUCUUUCC